This 109-nucleotide ribosomal RNA is filed under the name Pogona vitticeps (central bearded dragon). Lineage: Eukaryota; Metazoa; Chordata; Lepidosauria; Squamata; Agamidae. The record is from RNAcentral.
UUUUGCCACGGUACCAGCCUAAACAUGCCUGGUCCUGUUGGAUUUUGGAAGCUAAAUAGGGUCAAGCCUGGCUACCAUUUGGAAGGGAGACCACCAGGAGUCUCGAAAC